UCUGGCAAUGAUGACACACUUGCCCUCACUGAGAAUGUUGCUCUUCCAUGAGGACUUCACUUGUACUCGAACUGAGCCAGC
Small nucleolar RNA from Pristis pectinata (smalltooth sawfish), 81 nucleotides. RefSeq annotates it as small nucleolar RNA SNORD103/SNORD85. The transcript has a single exon. Lineage: Eukaryota; Metazoa; Chordata; Chondrichthyes; Rhinopristiformes; Pristidae. The record is from RefSeq and is a predicted model, not a curated record.